UACGGAGGGUGCAAGCGUUAUCCGGAAUCAUUGGGUUUAAAGGGUCCGCAGGCGGGACUGUAAGUCAGUGGUGAAAUCCGGCAGCUCAACUGUCGCACUGCCAUUGAUACUGCAGUCCUUGAAUUCGAUUGGAGUGGGCGGAAUAUGUCAUGUAGCGGUGAAAUGCUUAGAUAUGACAUAGAACACCGAUAGCGAAGGCAGCUCACUAAGUCUGAAUUGACGCUCAUGGACGAAAGCGCGGGUAGCAAAC
Molecule: ribosomal RNA, 250 nt
Filed under: uncultured bacterium
Lineage: Bacteria
Description: partial 16S ribosomal RNA
Rfam family: Bacterial small subunit ribosomal RNA
Source: RNAcentral